Molecule: non-coding RNA, 7559 nt
Organism: Chiloscyllium plagiosum (whitespotted bambooshark)
Lineage: Eukaryota; Metazoa; Chordata; Chondrichthyes; Orectolobiformes; Hemiscylliidae
Source: RefSeq, a predicted model, not a curated record
CGGACCGUCAAUCAAGGGGAGACGUCAGGCGGAUCGGUAGCAGGCUCGGUGGAUCUGGGUAGUUAAGGGCGGGCUGGCGGCCGAGAGAGUGUCGCCGUCGCGGCUGAGGGGGGGAAAAAAAAUAAAAUAAAUUUUUUUAUUUUUUUCAAAAACAAAAAGAGACACGGCGCCCGGGAGCUGAAAGUGUGAGGAAGGUCGACUUCAAACUAGCGAAGAACAAAAACCAAAACCUCGAAGUGUUUUUGAUAAAUCUCUACAUGUGUAUAAGUAGAUAUUCCUACAUCUAAAAUCUACCGAGUGAAGCACGAGAGAGAGAGGAGGGGGAAAGAGGAGAGGAUAAAACAAAACAAAAAAAAAACCGAUAAGAACUAUGGUGGGGGAAAUGGAAACGAAGGAGAAGCCGAGACCGACUCCCGAUUAUUUAAUGCAGCUGAUGAACGACAAGAAAUUAAUGUCGAGUCUGCCCAACUUUUGUGGGAUAUUCACGCAUUUGGAGCGGCUGCUGGAUGAAGAAAUAAGCAGAGUAAGAAAGGACAUGUAUACUGACACAAUGAAUGGCCUUGUGGACAAGCUGCCAAUGGACCUACCAGAACCCAUAGGACCUAUUAUGCAGUUACAAGAAAAAUUAUUUGUGCCUGUGAAAGAGUAUCCAGAUUUUAACUUCGUUGGUAGAAUCCUUGGCCCAAGAGGACUCACAGCAAAACAACUGGAAGCAGAGACUGGUUGCAAGAUCAUGGUUAGAGGGAAAAGUUCAAUGCGGGACAAAAAGAAGGCUUUCUUGUCUUCACAGGAAGAACAGAACCGAGGCAAACCAAACUGGGAACAUCUCAAUGAAGAGCUCCAUGUGUUAAUAACAGUUGAAGACACACAAGACCGAGCAGAAUUGAAGUUAAGAAGAGCUGUUGAAGAGGUUAAGAAGCUACUGGUUCCUGCUGCAGAGGGAGAAGACAAUUUGAAGAAGAUGCAACUGAUGGAGCUAGCUAUUCUUAAUGGAACAUACAGAGAUGCCAAUAUCAAAGCACCUACCCUUGCCUUUUCUCUUGCAGCAACGUCACAGGGUCCACGGCUGAUAACUGGACCGGCUGCACCCAUGCUUCCACCAGCUGCCUUGCGUGCCUCUACGCCAGCUGGUCCUGCCAUAAUGAAUAUAAUUAGGCCAAUUCAGACAACUGCAGUUAUGCCUAAUGGAACCCCUCAUCCAACUGCCUUAGUGCCAUCUUCUCCAGAAGCUGGUAUAAUCUAUACAACACCCUAUGAAUACCCAUAUGCUCUGGCACCAGCUGCAUCUCUACUGGAAUAUCCAAUGGAGCCAAGUGGGGUUCUAGGUAUGGCUUUUCCAACAAAAGGCUAAGAAUGCAUGGGACAUGUGUCUGAAUCCUCAGGAAAAAUAACUUCAGAAGAAGUGAAGAGUCUGACCAAGCACAUUGAAACACAAGCAGUAUAGCGAUGCUUAUUUUGGGUACAGGGUGUUCAGUAUUUGGCAGGCUUUACCAUAUCAUACAAUAUACCUUAAGACUUAAGGACACGUUCAGUGGUUUAAACUACCUAAAGCACUUUUUUGAGACAAAUGUACACUUGUAGCGAUUGUUGAAAAAUGGAUACACUGAAGACCUGAUUUGGAAGAAUGUGAUAUCACAUAUAUCCUAUCAAACUACUUGGACAAGCAAGGAGCUGAUAUGUACGGUGAUAAUCAAAAAGUACCAGAAUUAAAGGGGUUUCUUUCAGCUUUUCCACAAACUGUUAGAUUUCAAAAGUGAAAAAUAAUUUAAAUCUUUUUUUAAUUGUAGGUGCUUGCACCACUUUAAGAAUUACAUAUGAACCAGUAAAUUUACUGAAAACUGCUCCAAAUCAGCAUAUUGUUUAUCCUUUGAGCCUGUUAAAAUUCUACAUCAGAAUGGAAAAUUGCAAGAAAAGUGUCAGGCACUGGGUAAUAUAGUGGAUUAGAACAAUGUUUGUUCCUGUUUAUUGUCUGGGUUUAAAUCCAGUGCAAAUUAAAUAACACUGUCAUUGUUCUUUUAAUCCUCAAUGUCUGUGUACAUUUCUGUCCAGUUUUCCAGUAGUUAUAGGUCCAUAAUUUUUAAGUGCUGAUAAUUCAAGAAUAAAUGGACACAAUGUUCAUGAUUUACCAUAAAUUAGUUGAGGAAAUUCUGAAAUCUGUGGUGUUCUUUGACCCAUAUGAAUACGGCAUUAAUGUUUGGAAAGACUUGACCUUGCUGAUUGAAGGCCAGAUGAAGAUGAUUACUGGAAUCAUAGCUGGUCCCAAGCUUUCUUCGUCUACCAAACAUUGCUUCUUUUUCUGUAAUAGUUGGUUAGUGCUUUGGUCUCAGUAAAAACAUUAAUCUGUAAGCAUUGGUAAAUUAACCCAUAACCUGCUAACUGAAGAGAAAUUAUAAUUUGCAAACAAAUGCUGUAGCUAAGGCUUUAUGGGUUUAUCAUUACGUUGUGGAACUUCUUGGUGCCUGUGAAUUGGAUCCAGAUUUGGUGAAGCUUUAAAGAAUGCUUUAAUUAAUGUCUCAAAGGAAAUUCUGCUGUAAAACCUGGAAAUGCUGAUCCUGACCUCCUUUCCUGUUGGUACUGCAAAACAUGUUCUGAAUUAGUCAAGUACAUUUCUUUUUUUAAUCUGUGAUAGAGCAAGAGGUAUUGGAAUCUGAUCUUCUAGCACACAUGCACACUAACCACUGAUCAACCUUUGUAACACACUGACACUUGCCAAACUGGCAUUCGUGAUCCAAAUCUGCAGUGUUUCAAUCUCUGCUUGGUGCAAGGCUCAUUUAUUUUUGUACUUUUUUUAAAUUUUUUUUUACUAACUGCUUAUCAAUGGAUGCUGAUGGGUUUUACUGUGGUUCCAGAUCUCUCUUCUGCACUAAGUUCCAUUUGUAAACUGAUGCCCACAAUUUUUCUUGAAUAUUUACUGGUGCUAACUUACUUAACCAUAUAGCACAACAGUAUAAUUAAGUAGAUAACUUGUGUGCUGCUGUUUACCUAACAACACAAAACUUGUUACAAGGUCCACAGAAAUCUUAAGGGUUUGAAAAGAGACACCACUCAUUCUAUAUUGUUGAAAUUGGGAAUGGACCCAUGUUUAAAAGAACUUUUGUAGGUUAUGGUGAAACCUGCCUUCUAAAUGCUAGUUAUAUGUAUAUGUAACAUGUAAAUCAGUCCUAGCACAGUAAGACAUGACUGAGUUUGCUUUAUGACUGCAUUGUUAAAUACAAAGCAGUUUUCUGGUCAAAAAAAAAUUGCCCUUCAGGAUUUGAAAGAAUUUUUCCUGACGCUAUUGAGAAAAAUUCUGUAAUUACUACUUUUGACUACAGGGUUCAUUUUAAUCAGUUUACAGUAAUCCUAUCGAUUUACGUCCAGUUUUAGGAUUUUGAAUUUCAAGAAAAAUUGGAUUUCAGGAAAGGAGAAGCUUAGAGCUUAAGUGCCAAUUGUUAGGAAAUUAUUGAUUCUAGAAAUGGGAGGUAUUAUCACACUCUUAAUAAAUUACAAUUAAAAGUGAAUGCAAUCUUGUAGGUUUUUGUCAGUUUUUACACGCUGGGAUAAUCCAAGCAGCUAACAUUGACCAUGAGGCUGCAUUUGAGUAUUUAGAUAAAAAAAUGAUGCAAUUAAUACUCAGGCCGCCAUUUAGAUUGUCUGUAUGCCGAUAUUAAGCAAUUUCCAUCCCAAAAUGUUCAGAUAUACUACUUUGGCCAAGUUGUUCUCACUGAAUGAGUGUAAAUGCUCGCCUGACCUUUAGCUCUUAACUGCAGUAUCUGAAAGAGACUCUUUAACAGCCCCAGUGCAUAAUACUAAGAGAUAAGCAGUUAGUAAAGCAAUAUUAUCUGGCAAGACUACCUAAAUUUACUUUUGCAUAAUUUUAAGUCAUUGUAUGUUAUUGAAUUGUGUACUACACCAAUUUUGAGUUUUAUUCUAGAAAAAAUAUUCUAACUCUCUUUUGGACUUGUUACAAUUUAACUAGGUGCGAUGGCAACUAAAGUUCGGAGGCAUGAUUCGCGUGUCCAUCCUUACCAAAGGGUUGUGACCGCAGACAGAGCUGCCACAGGCAACUAACCCAUGACCUUUGACCUCUGAACUCUUCACCCAAUGAUGACCUGACCAUGCCUGCCUGCUGAUCAGUUAACUGGUUAUCGCCUAUGCUUGCCUGUCUUCAAUGCAGCGAGCUGAGGCACUGUCUGUUCGUCUCGUUACCUAACUGCGUUUAUAUAUUAAAAUUAAAGCUCCAGCCACAGCUUUUCUGGUUGGGUGAAUGUGUGGUACCAGAACCUGCACUGAAUAAUACUAAAGCAAUAAGUCCAGUUCAUCCCUCAGCACUGUUUCUCAGUGAUCAUCUCUUAAAGAUUCUCCCUAAAGAAUGGUAAGAAAGGUCUCUUAACAGCACUGGCAGGGGAUUGAGCGCUGUACAGGCAGUUGCCACGGACAAAUGUGAUGGACAUCUGAUGUAAUUUGUUGUAGUUACAAAGUCUUUGAACGCAUUUGUGAUUCAUUAUGGAUGGACCUUGAGUCAGGUAUAUUGGGAGAGAGUUCGAUACUGACAGUACAAAAUAUUGACCUCUACAAUUAAGGACAAAGAUUUAAAAUAUCUCGUGUACAGAACCUUCGUUUUUUGCCAAACACUUUUUUCUAAGGCCACUUCUGACAAUUUUUUGAAUCUCACCAGAAUUAAGAUGCUGUUUAGUCUUGUAGGCAGCUAAACAAAGUUUCUAGGUUAUUGAUGCUGUUGAGAAAAGCAUAAUGAAUAAGAUUAUCAAUGAAUUCAACUCCUUGGAUCAAUCAAUUUUUUUUAAAGGGAUAGUUUCUCCUGUUCAGAUUUGUUUUACUUCGUAGCCUUACAACCUCUGUCUUUUGCCCAAUUGGUAAUAUAAUCUGGUGUGAAGUACUCCACUGUGAUGUUCUGCUUGAUCAGUAAAGUUCCUGUUAAACCGUACCCUGUUUUCCCCCAAGAGCAUUCAUGUUCAAAAUUGUUCUACAUUUAAAUUUGACUGUCUAAACCCAGACGUCUACUGCCAGUGCCACCAGCCCACAGGGACAAUCCAUAGUGUCAAAAAGUUUCAAAAAUAGCAGCUGGGGGUCUGAGUACUUCUUUCAUUGUUCAAGCGCCUAACAUCUGCAAUUACUAUUGUGCAUGUUAGAUGAAAGCUGCCUGACACAGUUUUCCCCAACUUAUUUACUGUCCUUGUUUAGUUUGAGCUUCCUGAGUUUAUCCAAUGUAUUCGUCUUGUAUUUUGAGCUCAGCUUGAUUUUCAGUGCAGCCAAUAACAUUCUUAAUGUUCACAUAUACCUUGACACCAAGGUGCAUUCAUAAUGUGUCAUUUUUCUGGAUGCAAAAAAACUGUUUCUAAUUCUCUCCAUAAAUAGACACUUCUUUAAGAAGGAUGUGAAAGCCAUGCUUGCCUAUUCUAUUUGCUAUAUACAUGUUAUUAAAGUGUAGAUAAGUACAGUGCAUUUAAACCACAGAGGAAAACUAGAUACUUUUACAGGGUGCUGGUGAAGAAAUAUAUAUUUUUGACAAUUUAGCUUUUUAUACUUACUUGCAGUAACAAAAUACAAAAAAUUUUUAAAAAAAAGUAAUGGAAGUGAUACUGGAUGGUUGUAAACGAAACUGAAGACCAAAACAGUGUAUCUAGUGUUUUGCAGGGUUGUGGAUGAGAAGAGAGGAGCAUAAAGAAAGCAAAAUAGUGCCUUAUAUCUGCCUGGUCAAUUUGUAAGUGUCUAACAUAUUGUUUGACCUAAGUAUGAUGCAUGCCAGUCCAUCAUUGGAGAGGAGGGAAGCAGUCUUUAUUGGCAAAAAAAAAAUCAAAACAUGAUAGAACAGUAUGAGGACAGUUGUGUGAAGCUACUCAAGUUUAGGCCUGUCUGAAGAAUUUAGUUCAUUGAUUCUAUGCAACAAGUGUGAAAUAGUUUCUCAACUAGUUUGUAAUUUGUGCCAUUUGUCUUCCUAAGUUUAUACCUUCAAUUUUUCUGUGCCAUUUUUUUCAUAGAGUCGUAGCCUUUUUUUGAGUAAACAUUUAAGCAAAUGUUUUCUAUUAGCCACUUACAAAAUGAAGGCCACCUUGGCUUAGUUUUGCCUAAUUAAUUAAAAAGCCAACAAACCAGCUAUUAUCAUUAAACUAAAAUGCUGCAGUGUUUGACUUCAGAACAAAACACAUAAGAACAAAUUUGCAACCAUCUCCAAUGUGUUUGUUACUUGCUGCCCUUCAAUGUUUUAAUUUUUGUCAGCUUUCAUUGAGUUUAUAUAACUAAUGUAAACUCUGUUUAGUCAGUGUUAUUUUUUUUGUAACCAAAACAUUGAAAGUUUUCUUAACAGUAUUAUGUAUUCCCUCAGUUACAUUAUGGAGAAUAGUUCAAAGACACUGCUGUUACGUGAUGGUUGGUUGAAUGCAAAGCAAUUACAUAUGCUGUGUACAAUAUUCAAUAUAUUGCCUACACACAUGUAUAGUAUUGUAAUUACCACCAUUGUUACAAGUUUAUAAUGUAUUUUUCUAUCUUCAUUUUGUAUGUAUAUUAUAUACCAUAUACAACUUUUUGUUCCCAAUUUGAGGCCCCUGUGGUUUUGAUAGCCAGAAACUAUUGCAGAUUCAUUGUAAUCAUCUAUCAUUGGGAGUGUUGCCUUUUCUGACUUGUUAACUCAUUAUCCAAUUAAUAAGUUUCUUGUUACAAAUGUUUUUACAUGCUUGCAUUUUAUUUCAUGGUGUUUGCUGUUUCUAUUAACCCUGGCAUUUAUUUUAAUAAACGUUACAGUACAAAUCUACUAACUGCUGAAUAGUUUGUUUUUAACACUUGAUAAACAGUCUGGUUCACUGGACUAACCUUUUUUGAAGAGCAUACAUUGCUCUUGAGUACACACAUGCACAAAAAAUAACACUCGCUGAAAGUUGCUCCAAGUUAUGUGCUACGUCGUCUUGUGACUUACUUGCACUGCACAAUAAAGUAAACAGCGGCAUUCAGAAUUGAGUGGAGCCUGGAGGGUGAUGUGUACAUUGUCCCUUCAAGGUCGGGAACAAAGUAACAUUUCUUUUGAGAUAUCUGUCCAGUCUUGUCUAUUGCCUACCAGCUAAGCACCUUCUGUGUGUACUAAUGUUGGACCUGGCCUCUCUACUUUCUUUCUUCCUUUCAACUAAUGCAGGAGGUAUUUGUUCAUAGAGGCACACAAGCAAUGAUUGGGGGUAAAUAAAUCAAAGUUGUCUUUUGGUGGGUGGGAGUGGAAGGGUAUAAAGUAGGAGUUUGAGGCAGUCACUUAGUAAACUAGUCCUUUGACUACUGAGUCUGAUAUGUAAUAUGCUGUAAAAUGGCCUGCUUUCCAGUGUUUUUAUAUUAUGUAAAUUGAGAGGGAAAGAAUAAGCACUGAAGAUCUAAUGCAGUACAUUAACAUUUGGGGAAUCUCAAUGCAGUCAGCCUAUGCCUGCAAAUUCACUUUAAGAUAAGAAUAUGCAUAAAAAAUAUUGUUUGAAUCUGUAUAUAUAAGUAGUAUUUAUAGUCCAAGUUGAAAUUCACUUGUAUGUAACUUCUACCAAAAGGAGCUCUCUUGUACGCGUGCAAUAAAAUGACUGUUAAAACUGGAA